GAUUUGUGUGUAGAGAUCACAAACGCAACUUCAGGGACCAAACAUGUACAGUGUAUAGGCCGAACUGUAACUUUAUAAGAAAGUAGAAAGUAAUGGGCUAUGUUGGGAGCUAAACAGUGCAUGUCUUGUCUAAGGAAUUCAAAGCUUUUAAAAACACUCUUGUAGGCUUACAAAACCUAUGUUUGGAGGCAGGAUUUAUCUUGACCACUAUUUCAACACCUCUAAAUAGGAAUAGGACUUACAUAGAAAAAAACUCGAAAUGAUCUCCUACCCCUUCAAUUCCAGGCUCGACCUUUAGAAUGAAAUUUCUCAUCUUGGCUGGCCUUUUGAGCACUGCCACUGCUCUGCCCAUCCCCGUGAGUACACCCUCCUCAGCUGCUGACUCAAUUUCAGAUUUAGAGUCAUCGCAUUUCUCGGCUAGAAAGCAGGUCUUAUCUUUUCAUUUCACAAAAGAGGAAAGCGGAACCCAGGAAAGUCAUAGAACUAGGAGUUCACCACUCUUUGUCAGUCCAAGACUCUGCCCAGUACAAAUCUCAGCUCCAUAUGCCAUGUGCUAGCUGUGUGACUUUGAACUAACCCAUGGUUUCCUUGUCUAUAAAAUGAGUCCUAGGAACACCUCAGAGUUGCACGGAGAUGAUUUUUUUAAUGCAUCUAAGGCAGAGAAGGGUCCUAUUUGAAAGAUAGGAUGUUCUCAAUAAACUCAGUGAUAUAGAACAAAUAUUCUGCAGUGACCCAGGUCUAAAUUAAGCAGUUUGAAUUGAGUUUCAUUUGUAAUGCCCUUGCCCCAAACCAUCUCAUGUUUUCUUAAAAGGCUGUUACAUGGAAAUGCUCUGACACCAAAGGACUAUCUACCUCAUUGUAGAUUUGAUUUUAAAGAAGGAAAUAUUUAAGAUAACUUACAUUGAUUACUAAAUUAUGAAUAUAAAAACAACUUAUGCCUGAAUUAUAUUUGAGUGAUCAUACAGACACACCUUUAAAGUCCAAUUUUUGAAAACCAGAUUUGGAUAAAAAGCUACAUUCAUCUAUAGUGCCCUUGAUAACAAACCUAAUUUGUUUCUUUAGACCACAAUCCUUUUUGCCAAAGCUGGCAAGUAUCGUGGUCUAAAAUUCCAAACAAUUUGUAUUGCCUGUUUCUUUAGGCUGAUGGGAAUGCUGCAGUAUACAUAUUUCAUUAAUUCUAAUAUGUACUUUUUGAUAUUUCAGCAGCUCUGAAAUUGAGCUGUGUCUUAAAAACACAAUUUGAUAAAGUGUCACGGCAGCUUAACAGCAGCGCUUUUCUUUUUUGGUAAUUUAUGAAAUAAUGGUGCUUUUGACAAUGAUAGCAUCUAAGAAUAUAUGAAAUACUGUAAUCCCAGAACAUCAUUAACUUCACCUAUAUAGACAUUUUGUCAUCAACUGACUAUAUACAAAUGAGAUCCACUGAGUCUAAUCUGGGUUUACUAGUCUGAAUAUGAGGGCACCAAGUAGGCAAGAAACUCUCUCCCCUGCACACUUUGUAUCAAAGGAGCUUUUGAAGAAGUGAGGGAGCUUUCAAAAUUUGUGUUUGGGGUGCAGAACUUAAGUGUACAUUUCCACACUCCCUUCACUUUGAGUUUAUAACUACUGAGAACUAAAUCAAGAACACCAUUCAAAGAUUUACAAAAGGAAAUAUUCAUGUAAUAUGGAAUUAAUCUUAAGAAAUGUAAAUAAAAGCAUUCUUUGGAUAUAAAUUUAAAAGCAAAAAGCCUUGGUCUUCCAAAUCAUUGCACAAAAUUAAUUAAACUUUUCCCUAUUAGAUAUCCAACUGCUUUUUAUUUCAGAAGUGAAGUUACAUUACUGAUGGGUAUAAUGCUCCAUAGUGGCUUAUUACUUAUUCUCCUUUAGAACAAAACCUCUCUUUAGUGGAUAAUGUAUUUCCAUAUGCUGCUUUACCUUGUUGCUGUUAUUGUUUUGCAAGCUCGAACAAUAUGCUGAAAGUUCCAGUGAACAGGUGAACUUCUAAUUGUAUUUUUAAAUAAUGCAUUCAUCAUUUUAAAAGUCUGCCAUUGUCUGAAAUGACUGACAUCAUGUUUCUUUUUACAGAGAUUUAUCUUUUACCCACCACAAGUACCACCAUUUUUCCCUCAGGUCCUCUUUCCCCUACCUCCGCAACCGCCCCUGGUCCUCACACCUAAUGAUCUUAUCGCGGUAAAUAUAUUCUGCCCUGUUAUUCUAUAAAGUCCAUAUAAAUACUACAUUCAACAUCUCUCAAUGGUCCUAAUUAAGGUAGGGAGCAGAGAAAGGCACCCUAACAGAACAAACGCUACCUGAGGGCAUUGUUCGUGCCUAAGAUCUGUCACAGUUGGGACAGUGUUUAGCUUAAAUAUUACUGCAUACACUCUAAGACAGACAGCUCAACAAGUAAAGAGAUUCACCUUUUAGACGGAGUUGGUCAAUUUCUUGAGCAAGCUGCCAGAAUCUUAAAACAGGACCAUGUGGAUGCUACAAAACAAUUUUCCAGUAAAACUGCUUGUAUAAGCAAGUUCUCAAAACAAAGUAUUCAUAGUUGUCCUAAAAUUUUAGUUCAAGUAUCAUUCACACAGGGAAUCUGAAUCAUUUAUGAAAGAUGGGACUUGUAUGGAAGUGUACACAGAGGGUUUCUUAACCAUUCAAAUCAAUUUUCUAACUUUCAAAUAUGGUAAAUAUCAUUACAAAGCUGUAGAAAGAAAAUAUUUCUGUGAAUUAAAGGUAUUUAAAUCCAGAUAUUGUCAUUUUAAAAUCUUGUAUCAUAUAAAUAAUAUACUAAGCAAUAAAAUGGAAUUUUUCAAUAAAAUAGAUUUUUGUAUACAAAGUAUACUAACUUGCAUAUGUAAUAAGUUAAAUGUAGGUUUAAAAAUUAACCUAUUGACAGCACUGAUCAUCAAUUUUUCUUCCUUCACAGUUACUCAUUGCUAUUUUGAACCAACUAGGGAUUUUAUUUCCAUGACUAAAUUGAUAAAGAAAUAAUUCUCCCACUACUAUGCCAGAAGUUACGUAUGGUUAGUAAAAUCUCCAAAUUCUUUCAUGCAUUUAUAUCCUUUUCAAUAUUUUUAUCAUGAGUUUAAUUGCCUCUGAUUGUGUCCACAACGGUAAAUUAAUAAUAUGAUGAAAAUAGGUGUAAACAAGACCAAUUAAUUACAAAUGCUUUCUUCAAAGGAUGUAUUUUAAAGUCAGUUUAUUAAAACUCCAGAAAUAUUUUAGAAAAUAACCACCACCAGAAGUCCUAAGCAUAAGAAAACAUACUGUUAAAUAAGAAUAGCCUCUCGAAGUGCUCAGAAUUUUCAAGUUCCCCCUUUAGCCACCAAAUAUUUAAAGUAGUUAUGAUCCUAAGGAAACUUUGCAUAUCCUUCUAUUUGAGUUUGAAAUGCUUUCAAAAGCUCAAGAACACCUGCUGACAAAACAAACACUGACUGUGG
RNAcentral lists this long non-coding RNA (3413 nucleotides) under Homo sapiens (human). RNAcentral's name for it is "HSALNT0320769". Lineage: Eukaryota; Metazoa; Chordata; Mammalia; Primates; Hominidae. The record is from RNAcentral.